GUCGUUGUCCCCUAAUUACAGAGCUGGAUUAUGUCCUCAUCAUCCCGCUCUGUCUAGUAGCUCUGGAUUUCCUUCCUUGGGGCAGACUUUUACUCUUUGGCUCCGCUCUUCUAAGUAGCUCCGCCUUCUGGCGAAUUGUCUCUAGCGUGUGGCUCCGCGCUCUGGCUCCAAUAGCUUAGCUCUGACUUUGGAUCUGGCGAUUUGGCUCUGGCUCUGACUCUAACGACUUAGCUCUGACUCUGGAUCUGGUGACUUAGCUCUGGC
RNAcentral lists this long non-coding RNA (264 nucleotides) under Salvia miltiorrhiza (redroot sage). RNAcentral's name for it is "long non-coding RNA (SMIL_LNC010780)". Lineage: Eukaryota; Viridiplantae; Streptophyta; Magnoliopsida; Lamiales; Lamiaceae. The record is from RNAcentral.